This 1449-nucleotide ribosomal RNA is filed under the name uncultured organism. Its description in RNAcentral is "SSU rRNA". It matches the Rfam family "Bacterial small subunit ribosomal RNA". The record is from RNAcentral.
UAGCUACAGGCUUAACACAUGCAAGUCGAGGGGCAGCAUGGUCUUAGCUUGCUAAGGCCGAUGGCGACCGGCGCACGGGUGAGUAACACGUAUCCAACCUGCCGUCUACUCUUGGACAGCCUUCUGAAAGGAAGAUUAAUACAAGAUGGCAUCAUGAGUCCGCAUGUUCACAUGAUUAAAGGUAUUCCGGUAGACGAUGGGGAUGCGUUCCAUUAGAUAGUAGGCGGGGUAACGGCCCACCUAGUCUUCGAUGGAUAGGGGUUCUGAGAGGAAGGUCCCCCACAUUGGAACUGAGACACGGUCCAAACUCCUACGGGAGGCAGCAGUGAGGAAUAUUGGUCAAUGGGCGAGAGCCUGAACCAGCCAAGUAGCGUGAAGGAUGACUGCCCUAUGGGUUGUAAACUUCUUUUAUAAAGGAAUAAAGUCGGGUAUGGAUACCCGUUUGCAUGUACUUUAUGAAUAAGGAUCGGCUAACUCCGUGCCAGCAGCCGCGGUAAUACGGAGGAUCCGAGCGUUAUCCGGAUUUAUUGGGUUUAAAGGGAGCGUAGAUGGAUGUUUAAGUCAGUUGUGAAAGUUUGCGGCUCAACCGUAAAAUUGCAGUUGAUACUGGAUAUCUUGAGUGCAGUUGAGGCAGGCGGAAUUCGUGGUGUAGCGGUGAAAUGCUUAGAUAUCACGAAGAACUCCGAUUGCGAAGGCAGCCUGCUAAGCUGCAACUGACAUUGAGGCUCGAAAGUGUGGGUAUCAAACAGGAUUAGAUACCCUGGUAGUCCACACGGUAAACGAUGAAUACUCGCUGUUUGCGAUAUACUGCAAGCGGCCAAGCGAAAGCGUUAAGUAUUCCACCUGGGGAGUACGCCGGCAACGGUGAAACUCAAAGGAAUUGACGGGGGCCCGCACAAGCGGAGGAACAUGUGGUUUAAUUCGAUGAUACGCGAGGAACCUUACCCGGGCUUAAAUUGCAGAUGAAUUACGGUGAAAGCCGUAAGCCGCAAGGCAUCUGUGAAGGUGCUGCAUGGUUGUCGUCAGCUCGUGCCGUGAGGUGUCGGCUUAAGUGCCAUAACGAGCGCAACCCUUGUUGUCAGUUACUAACAGGUUCCGCUGAGGACUCUGACAAGACUGCCAUCGUAAGAUGUGAGGAAGGUGGGGAUGACGUCAAAUCAGCACGGCCCUUACGUCCGGGGCUACACACGUGUUACAAUGGGGGGUACAGAGGGCCGCUACCACGCGAGUGGAUGCCAAUCCCCAAAACCUCUCUCAGUUCGGACUGGAGUCUGCAACCCGACUCCACGAAGCUGGAUUCGCUAGUAAUCGCGCAUCAGCCACGGCGCGGUGAAUACGUUCCCGGGCCUUGUACACACCGCCCGUCAAGCCAUGGGAGCCGGGGGUACCUGAAGUGCGUAACCGCGAGGAGCGCCCUAGGGUAAAACUGGUGACUGGGGCUAAGUCGUA